Pogoniulus pusillus (Red-fronted tinkerbird) is the source of this 1884-nucleotide long non-coding RNA. RefSeq lists it as uncharacterized. Lineage: Eukaryota; Metazoa; Chordata; Aves; Piciformes; Lybiidae. The transcript has 2 exons. The record is from RefSeq and is a predicted model, not a curated record.
UGUCAGCCUGUGCAUGAAGCAAACCUACAGUUCCUUUGCAAGAGAUGUAUCAGAGGAGACAAGAAUUUCCUUACCACAGCAGACUCCUGGCCACCUCUAUUCCUGCCAUCGGGCAGCAGCUAAUCCAUCACAGGAAAUUAUAAGGAAUGCUGUCAUAGGCAAAUGCAAUCAAAAGAAGGCUUUUUUUGGUCCCCCUCAGAGGAAAUCAGCCUCUAACCCAAUGCUAGGGGGUGAAAUAUGCCUGGAAGAGUGCUGAUGCACAUCUCUGCAGCAGAAGAAAUGGAUCCCUAUUCAGGCGCCCAGCCAGGUGCAGGAUAACAGAGUGAAGCUUCCUUCAGAGCAAAGAAGUGCGCAGAAAAGGAAAACAGCAAAACUCCAGGGAACAAGGAAACUAAACCAAACCAGAGAGAGGCAGGAAAACUACUGAAGGAAUGGAGAUUUGCAACAAGGGCCAGAAGGGAUAGAUAAAUGCAGACAACAGCUACAGAUAUAGUGAAUCAUGCCAGCCCCAUGGAAAUUGAUAUCCAGUGACAGUGACCAAACAAUGCUAAUACAGGGACCUCCCCGUGCCCUAUCUACCCCAAGAGAUCCUUGUAGCUAUUUUUUCUUUGGAGAAGAGAUAGAUCUCUAAAGAAGGGGAGGGAAAAAAAUCCCAUUUAGAGAUUGCAGCCUGCAGACACAUCUGUGAGUCUCACCUCCUGCAGUUCAUUCUUGCAGCUCCUUAGGGAGGGCAGCUGAAUGACCACCACCACCACCACCAAGAACAGCCAGGCAAGUUUCUCCAGGUCUUCCCCAGCUGUGUGGAGGGCUGAGGUUAAUUGGAAUAUCUUACUGAGAGAAAUUAAACCCUUAGCUGUGAGAAGAAAGAAAAAAACAACCCAGCAGUCCCUUAUAUGACUCAUUCUCCUGCUGAGAAAUGCAACUGGCCAAAUGCAGAUAAGACACUCACUUCUCAGGCACUGCUCAGCUCUCAGUUCAGUUCCUUCUCUCUGGUGGUCUGUGUGCUUGCCUCUGCCUCAACUCUUUACUCUGACCUAAGCCUUUUUCCUUUAACCUCCUUGUCAUCAUCUUUUUCUUGACAUCUCACCUCAGAUCUCUCCAGAUUUAUCAGGUGAGAUAUAUGUGGGUUGUUCUGUUAUUUCUGAAGGGAGGAAAAGAUGCAGUGGGGGGAGGAGGCUUGUGUCAGGAUCCUCCUGGCAAUGUGGUUGCCUUGGGAGGGAUUUUGUGGUUUUGUGUGACUUUUUAUGUUGUAUGUAACUGUAAAUAUCUCUCUGUGUGUGUAUAAGUGCUUGCAAGUUGUGCUAAUCUAUAAAUAUAGCUUCAUUCCUUAACUUCCAGCCUGCUGAGCCUAGUCUGGAGGAUUUCAUUGCAUGUGGGGGUGGGUCCCACCAGUUCAUGGACAUAAAUGACUUCAGCCAGCUGGGCUGCUUGGCACAACCCUGUGUGCUAGUUUGAAGCUGGCUAGAAUGUUUUGGUGAGAAGAACUAGAUUACAGGCUGUGAAAGGAAAACAAAGGUGAUGUCUGCUUCACUCAUAGGCUUGCUGAGAGGUAUAAGAACAAGAAUGCAAACAUAGAUAAGGCACUUCUGCUGGGGAGCUCCGAGCUCAUUUCUUUCUCUAGCCUCUCUGCUGUCUUUCUGAUUAAUCCACUUUGCUUCCUAACCCCCUGGCCAAACCUCCAUUCUUCCUUGGGACUGGGAUAAGAUUGAGAGGGGUGGGAGAAGGUGGAAGGGUGGUUGGGAGCCCCUCCUGGGGACUCAGGUUUCUGGGAGGGCUGUUGUGUUUCUGUAUCACCUCUUACCUUGUAUAUUUCUGUAUAUACUGUAAAUAUCUGCUUGUAUAUUGAGCUAAGCUGUAAAUAAAAGCUUCAUUCAAGUUGCCAGA